RNAcentral lists this unclassified non-coding RNA (314 nucleotides) under plant metagenome. Its description in RNAcentral is "partial contains 5.8S ribosomal RNA, internal transcribed spacer 2, and large subunit ribosomal RNA". The stretch from base 1 to 105 matches the Rfam family "5.8S ribosomal RNA", at positions 50 to 154 of the family's 154-position model. The record is from RNAcentral.
GAAAUGCGAUAAUUAAUGUGAAUUGCAGAAUUCAGUGAAUCAUCGAGUCUUUGAACGCACAUUGCGCCCCCUGGUAUUCCGGGGGGCAUGCCUGUCCGAGCGUCAUUGCUGCCCUCAAGCACGGCUUGUGUGUCGGGCUUCCGUCCCUGGCAACGGGGACGGGCCCAAAAGGCAGUGGCGGCACCAUGUCUGGUCCUCGAGCGUAUGGGGCUUUGUCACCCGCUCCCGUAGGUCCAGCUGGCAGCUAGCCUCGCAACCAAUCUUUUUAACCAGGUUGACCUCGGAUCAGGUAGGGAUACCCGCUGAACUUAAGC